CUGCCUACGGGACGCAGCAGUGGGGAAUAUUGGGCAAUGGGCGCAAGCCUGACCCAGCAACGCCGCGUGAAGGAAGAAGGCCCUCGGGUUAUAAACUUCUUUUAUCAGGGACGAAACAAAUGACGGUACCUGAUGAAUAAGCCACGGCUAACUACGUGCCAGCAGCCGCGGUAAUACGUAGGUGGCAAGCGUUAUCCGGAUUUACUGGGUGUAAAGGGCGUGUAGGCGGGUCUGCAAGUCAGAUGUGAAAUCUCAUG
RNAcentral lists this ribosomal RNA (257 nucleotides) under uncultured bacterium. RNAcentral's name for it is "partial 16S ribosomal RNA". It matches the Rfam family "Bacterial small subunit ribosomal RNA", at positions 335 to 606 of the family's 1533-position model. The record is from RNAcentral.